This 301-nucleotide ribosomal RNA is filed under the name uncultured bacterium. RNAcentral describes it as "partial 16S ribosomal RNA". It matches the Rfam family "Bacterial small subunit ribosomal RNA", at positions 509 to 807 of the family's 1533-position model. The record is from RNAcentral.
CAGUAGCCGCGGUAAUACGUAGGGUGCAAGCGUUAAUCGGAAUUACUGGGCGUAAAGCGUGCGCAGGCGGUUAUGUAAGACAGUUGUGAAAUCCCCGGGCUCAACCUGGGAACUGCAUCUGUGACUGCAUAGCUAGAGUACGGUAGAGGGGGAUGGAAUUCCGCGUGUAGCAGUGAAAUGCGUAGAUAUGCGGAGGAACACCGAUGGCGAAGGCAAUCCCCUGGACCUGUACUGACGCUCAUGCACGAAAGCGUGGGGAGCAAACAGGAUUAGAGACCCCUGUAGUCCCUGUCUCUUAUAC